UACGUAGGGGGCAAGCGUUGUCCGGAUUUAUUGGGCGUAAAGAGCUCGUAGGCGGUUCCGUAAGUCGGGUGUGAAAAAUCUGGGCUCAACCCAGUGGAGCACCCGAUACUGCGGUGACUCGAGUCCGGUAGGGGAGUGUGGAAUUCCUGGUGUAGCGGUGAAAUGCGCAGAUAUCAGGAGGAACACCGACGGCGAAGGCAGCACUCGUGGGCCGGUACUGACGCUGAGGAGCGAAAGCAUGGGGAGCGAACAGG
This 254-nucleotide ribosomal RNA is filed under the name uncultured bacterium. RNAcentral describes it as "partial 16S ribosomal RNA". It matches the Rfam family "Bacterial small subunit ribosomal RNA", at positions 524 to 776 of the family's 1533-position model. The record is from RNAcentral.